This is a non-coding RNA of Peromyscus maniculatus bairdii (prairie deer mouse), 356 nucleotides long. Lineage: Eukaryota; Metazoa; Chordata; Mammalia; Rodentia; Cricetidae. The record is from RefSeq and is a predicted model, not a curated record.
GGAAGGCUGAGGCAGAGAGACACUGCCAGCCGCCGCCAUGACAGCGUGUGAAGAUACCGCAUACCAGAGUGCAUGUGUGGAUGUGGGAUCCCAACUUGCAAGAAUCAUCAUUCUCCUUCUACCACAUGGGUUCUAAAGUUCUGAAGUCUCCUGAAUGGAUUUGGAGGGCUACAGAGAUGCCUCAGCAAUUCCGAGUGUAUACUGCCCUUGCAGAGGAUCCAAGUUCAGUUCCCAGCACCUACAUCAAGCCAUUCACAACCACCUGUUACUCGAACACCAGGAGAUACAAUGCUGUCUGUCCUCUAAGGGAACCUGCAUUCACAUGCAUCCAUGUGUGUACACGAACAUGUGCACAC